This 76-nucleotide transfer RNA is filed under the name Parcubacteria group bacterium CG1_02_39_15. Its description in RNAcentral is "tRNA-Phe". It matches the Rfam family "tRNA". Rfam says of the family: Transfer RNA (tRNA) molecules are approximately 80 nucleotides in length. Their secondary structure includes four short double-helical elements and three loops (D, anti-codon, and T loops). The record is from RNAcentral. RNAcentral also lists the same sequence under 4 other names.
GCCGCGGUAGCUCAUUGGUAGACGCACUUCUCUGAAAAAGAAGGGGUAGUGGGUUCGAUUCCCACCCGCGGCAUCA